RNAcentral lists this unclassified non-coding RNA (207 nucleotides) under Hevea brasiliensis (rubber tree). Lineage: Eukaryota; Viridiplantae; Streptophyta; Magnoliopsida; Malpighiales; Euphorbiaceae. The record is from RNAcentral.
GGCGGGGUUGAUCGGAAGCACGGGCAUUGCGUAUAGAAGCAGAAAAUGCAGUCGCAGGAAUACCCAUGUCUCCGGCGAGAUUCUAAUCGCCGGCGCGGCGAAACAGAGAAGGAAAUUGAGGAAAGAGGAAGAGGGGGAGAAAUAAAAGAACUUUCUUGUGCUGGGGGUAGGCGAUUAGGUGUUUUUUGGGUAGAGAGUGGAGACUGG